UACGGGGGGGGCAAGCGUUGUUCGGAAUUACUGGGCGUAAAGGGCUCGUAGGCGGCCAACUAAGUCCGACGUGAAAUCCCCAAGCUUAACUUGGGAACUGCGUCGGAUACUGGAUGGCUUGAAUUCGGGAGAGGGAUGCGGAAUUCCAGGUGUAGCGGUGAAAUGCGUAGAUAUCUGGAGGAACACCGGCGGCGAAGGCGGCAUCCUGGACCAACACUGACACUGAGGAGCGAAAGCCAGGGGAGCAAACGGG
This 253-nucleotide ribosomal RNA is filed under the name uncultured bacterium. RNAcentral's name for it is "partial 16S ribosomal RNA". It matches the Rfam family "Bacterial small subunit ribosomal RNA", at positions 524 to 776 of the family's 1533-position model. The record is from RNAcentral.